GGCGCAGGCACGCUCAGGACCGGGCGACUUCAAUCUCGGAGCCGGGGACCCGCGCCCUCGCGAGAGCAGAACAGAGAAAAGCGGUAUGUGUUUCGCUUGGCAGGAGAACACUUGCUUUCAAGACUCCACUUCCAAAAUGCACGAGUGUCUGGGCUGUUCAGCAAGCCGGCCUUAGUUUUUCCCUCUUAACGUGGCAGCAUGUAAUUGAGAACAAAAAAAAGCAGCCCCUGACAUCCAGGAACUGGCCUGACACUUACAGCCACACUGGGAGACUCUCCAAUGCAGGGGACAGGUCUGACUCAUCCCUAUAUCCCAGCACCUGGGAGAGCAGAAGUUCAAUGAAUGAUGAUGACAAUGGCUAACAUUUACUGUCCACUUACUACAUGCCAGGUAUGGUUUUAGAAGCUUUAUAUUGAUUUAAUCCUCUGAAUAAUCCAGAAAAUUAAGAAAUAGAGGCACAGAAAGGCUAACUUGCCAAGUAGUUACAUAAACUAACUUACGUAAGUAGUACUAACUUAUAUAAGUAGUUGUAGGGGGGCCAGAUUUCAAACACAGGCAGUCUGGCCCAGAAAACACGCUGCUUACCCACUGCCCUCUACUGCUGCCUGGCUUAGAUAUAUUAAGAUUUUAAGAUGAGCUGAGUCCUGUCCUUAGGCUUUACAAACAGUAAUACAGUGACUUCCAGACAUUUUUGUUUAGAACCUACAAGAAGAAAUACAUCUGUAAACAACCACAGCACACCUGUGUACAAUGUCUGUGUGUGUUCACAAACAAUACGAGUUCUUACUAUGUGGGGUGGACUCCAACGUUUUCUGUUCUGUUUCAUUUUUUAAAAUGCUGGUUGCAACCCAUGAAUUUGAAUUCAUAAUUACUAAUGGGUCAUUAGUAAUGACCCAUUAGUAAGAAAAACAUGGCAUUAUUUCAUUAAUUCCCCACAAUCAUGCUGUGAAAUGAGUGUUCUAUUAGAUGAGGAAGUUGAGGCACGAGAGUAAAGUCACCUCCCCAGGACGGCACAGCCACUCAGUAAGACGCACACUGGGUCUUUGACCCUAGUGCCCAUGUCCUUAAUCGCUGUGCCACGCUACUUCCUGGGGAGGAUGAGAGAGCUGAGGGCAAGGUUGGAAGAGCCCAGAAGGUCAGA
This is a long non-coding RNA of Balaenoptera musculus (blue whale), 1141 nucleotides long. RefSeq lists it as uncharacterized. The record is from RefSeq and is a predicted model, not a curated record. The transcript has 3 exons. Lineage: Eukaryota; Metazoa; Chordata; Mammalia; Artiodactyla; Balaenopteridae.